This 326-nucleotide ribosomal RNA is filed under the name uncultured eukaryote. RNAcentral's name for it is "partial 18S ribosomal RNA". It matches the Rfam family "Eukaryotic small subunit ribosomal RNA", at positions 1470 to 1796 of the family's 1831-position model. The record is from RNAcentral.
CCCUUAGAUGUUCUGGGCUGCACGCGCGCUACACUGAAGCUAUCAACACGUUUUCCCUCCCUGAGAAGGGCGGGUAACCUUUUGAAUCAGCUUCGUGGUAGGGAUCGGGGCUUGCAAUUGUUCCCCGUGAACCAGGAAUUCCUAGUAGACGCGAGUCAUAAGCUCGCAUCGAUUAAGUCCCUGCCCUUUGUACACACCGCCCGUCGCUCCUACCGAUUGAAUGUGUUGGUGAGGAGCUCGGAUUGGCAGCAGUUGGUGGUUCGCCACCGGCUAUUGCUGAGAAGUCCUCCAAACCGCCCCAUUUAGAGGAAGGAGAAGUCGUAACA